CGAAUCUUGAAAUGGGAAAGAGGGGAUUUGAAGAUCAAGAGGCGCCCUCUACCUCAGCUGGGCCAGUCGACCUCGAUUGUCUUUGGAAUUUUUGUAACUGAGUGGGCAAAGCAUUGGAAAUUGACCAUCAGGUCGAAGAAAAAGAAGAGUAGUUUGAAUUACUAGUAUUAUGAUUUUGAAAAGAUGUUGUUGUUCUGUGAAUAUAUUUGUUGUAUCUAAUUAAUGUAGAAGUUGAAAGAAACUGAAGCAAAAUCAUGAUAUAAUAUGUAGUAUUUGCAAGAAAUUACCAUAUGAACUCCUUUUCAAC
This 307-nucleotide unclassified non-coding RNA is filed under the name Hevea brasiliensis (rubber tree). Lineage: Eukaryota; Viridiplantae; Streptophyta; Magnoliopsida; Malpighiales; Euphorbiaceae. The record is from RNAcentral.